GUUAUAUACAGGAGGCACCUAAUGAGGUUGUAUACAGGGGACACCUAAUGAGGUUAUAUACAGGGGGUACCUAAUGAGGUUAUAUACAGGAGGCACCUAAUGAGGUUAUAUACACGGGGCACCUAAUGAGGUUAUAUACAGGGGGUACCUAAUGAGGUUAUAUACAGGAGGCACCUAAUGAGGUUAUAUACAGGAGGCACCUAAUGAGGUUAUAUACAGGGGGCACCUAAUGAGGUUAUAUACAGGGGGCACCUAAUGAGGUUAUAUACAGGGGGCACCUAAUGAGGUUAUAUACAGGAGGUAACUAAUGAGGUUAUAUACAGGAGGUAACUAAUGAGGUUAUAUACAGGGGAUACCUAAUGAGGUUAUAUACAGGGGUACCUAAUGAGGUUAUAUACAGGAGGCACCUAAUGAGGUUGUAUACAGGGGACACCUAAUGAGGUUAUAUACAGGGGGUACCUAAUGAGGUUA
Molecule: long non-coding RNA, 471 nt
Filed under: Salmo salar (Atlantic salmon)
Lineage: Eukaryota; Metazoa; Chordata; Actinopteri; Salmoniformes; Salmonidae
Description: lncRNA (ENSSSAG00000122172.1)
Source: RNAcentral